Molecule: transfer RNA, 76 nt
Filed under: Acidobacteriota bacterium
Lineage: Bacteria; Pseudomonadati; Acidobacteriota
Also listed under: 4 other names
Description: tRNA-Cys
Rfam family: tRNA
About the family: Transfer RNA (tRNA) molecules are approximately 80 nucleotides in length. Their secondary structure includes four short double-helical elements and three loops (D, anti-codon, and T loops).
Source: RNAcentral
GGCGAGGUACCCAAGUGGCUAAGGGAGAGGUCUGCAAAACCUUUAUUCAGGGGUUCGAAUCCCCUCCUCGCCUCCA